Molecule: small nuclear RNA, 193 nt
Filed under: Dothistroma septosporum NZE10
Lineage: Eukaryota; Fungi; Ascomycota; Dothideomycetes; Mycosphaerellales; Mycosphaerellaceae
Description: U2 spliceosomal RNA
Rfam family: U2 spliceosomal RNA
About the family: U2 is a small nuclear RNA (snRNA) component of the spliceosome (involved in pre-mRNA splicing). Complementary binding between U2 snRNA (in an area lying towards the 5' end but 3' to hairpin I) and the branchpoint sequence (BPS) of the intron results the bulging out of an unpaired adenosine, on the BPS, which initiates a nucleophilic attack at the intronic 5' splice site, thus starting the first of two transesterification reactions that mediate splicing.
Source: Rfam by way of RNAcentral
UUAGCUCUCUUUGCCUUUUGGCUUAGAUCAAGUGUAGUAUCUGUUCUUUUCAGUUUAAUCUCUGAAACGAGUCUACGGACUCAUUCAAGAUUAUUCUUAUUUUUGGCACCAGCCCCGAGGCCUCUGAGCUUGCUCAUGUCUCGGCGGCACAGUGUCCCUGGUAUUGCACUGCCUCCAGGUGACGCGACAUCCU